This is a long non-coding RNA of Morus notabilis, 1717 nucleotides long. RefSeq lists it as uncharacterized. The transcript is spliced from 3 exons. The record is from RefSeq and is a predicted model, not a curated record. Lineage: Eukaryota; Viridiplantae; Streptophyta; Magnoliopsida; Rosales; Moraceae.
UGUUUUAUUGCUGGAGUGAGAAAUAGAAAAGAAGAGAGAAAUAGAGAGCUCAUACUAACAUUAUAAUUUGAUGUUACUUUAGGUCUCUGUAUAUCAAAUUAUCAAUCAUCAAAAAGUGAAGAUACAAUCACUAUGUAGUUAACUAUUUCUUUCAUUCAAUAAUAAAUUAAUCGAUAUAUCUUGGUGACUCAUACAUUGUGGCGCAUGUGAUAGAUCAAUAGAUAAUUGUUGGUGGCAUACUCUAUUAAUUGUUUGUGCGGAUUUACCCCUAUAAUCAAGUAAUUUUGGAGGUCAUUUUGCACUUUGCAGGUGGUUUUGUAUUUUACUUGUUCUGUUGGUUUCUUAUAUUCCAUGUUUAUAUAUGGAACUAAUAUAGUUGUCAUUGUCGCUGUUGUUCUUGGAUUUCUUGGGUUCCCCCAUGAAUUAAGUUUUUUUCUUUCGAGGUCAUCUUGCAGGUUGUUUUCUGGUUUAAUUUGGUUUUUGGAAUGAAGAAAACAAAUUGGAAUUGAAUAAUUGAGAAUUCACGACACCUUUUUUUUUUAAGUGUGACAUCUUAUUGGUGUUUUUCCCAUAGAUUUUCCGGUGUUCAUGUAUUAGGGGAAAAAAAGCUUCAUUAGAGUGCAUAUGUGGUGUCCGAUUUUAGUCCGUUUUCAUAUAAUUAGACAUGAGAUAGUUUCAUCAGAAUGCGUAUGUGGUGUCUGAUUUGUCCGUUUGCAUAUAAUUAGACAUGAGGUAGUUUUAGUUUUAGUUUUAGUUUUAUAAGUAAUUAUAACGUUUUUCACAAAAAAAAAUAGUUAUAACUUUUAAUCGUUUAAACUGUUUUUGUUAAAGUUAAAGACUACAAAAUAGCUAACAGUUGUAGGCCUUUGCUUUGCUCCCAUAAGGACUGGGGUUCAAACCACCUCAUGGGUACCUACAUGACAAAAGUCAUGGUUUCCUGCCUUCCAAAGAUUGUAGGGGCGGAGGGCUCCAGUUGCUAACUCGUAUUGACAAAGUGGGUUUGGGGGAUUUUUGGGUAUAAAAAAAAAAAGAGCUAAAUAUUGUUCAAAAAUUGGCCUCCAAGGAGAAUCUUAUGUCUAGAGGUUUACUUAGAAUUUGAUGUUGAAUCUUUGAUUUUAGAUAACUGCUACAGAGAGAAAUAUGCUUAAAGUGGCAAAGAGCAAAAGCAAGCGCCAAAUCUACACAAGAAAGCGCACACCAGCUUAGCUUCAACUUUACCUAUUUGGUCGACAUAUUAAGUACUGCAUAAUGUUUUGUCACCGCAAUUAAACUUGUGCAAGCACGAUUUGGUUCUGUAAGGAUUCCUCUGUUUCCUUGCUUUGGUUGGAGAAAUUUUGGUUUGGCGGAGAUAUUGGUUGUGAAACUAAUUAAAAAAGGAAGUGCAAAAGGAAAAAGGAAAUACUUCUAUUAUUAGAUUUUUCUGAUUUUAAGUGUUAUUAUUGACGACUUUGCAUUUUUUGUUCCCUGUUGCUUAUCUUAGCUUCAACUUUUUAGAUUUGGAUUAGCUACUACAAAACAUUUUGCCAUCAAAGAUAAACAUGAGCAAGGAGAUUUUCAUUCUGUCUAUGAGAUGCAUAUGAGGCAUUUGAUGACAAAACUGCUCAGACAAUUACAUAGCCAUAUUUAUACCAUGGAAGGGAUAAGGAAAGGUCAUGCAGAAAAAAGUAGAUAAAAGAUAUAGGCUUAGUUUGGUAAUGCUGUAGAUUUUAAAAAAAAU